CACUAACCCUUAUUGAUUGGCAUCCUUGCCAUUUGGAAAGAGAAGCCACCAAAGACGAGCGCGGGGCGGUGUUCCUCGUGUCAUGAUUGUUUCACUGGCUGGCUUCAGAUGGUUUUCGUUUGGUCUCGACCUCGAAGUCAGAAGGCCUUUGCCCGUGCCUGUAAAUGCUGUAGCCUGUCCCGCUCUUCUUGUGUAUCAGCUUGCUUUUUGGUGUGGUAGUGUGCUGUUGGGCUUGUAUGAUGUCUGGUCGAUUCAGUGACAAGAUUGACGAGUGAGUGAGUGUUGAUCUGAUACAUGUACAAUUACACACCAUUUUUUGUUGAAGAGUUUCGACACAUUAUCUUUUGAUUUGUCGUGUGCUGUGUCUCCCGGAAGUGUGGAUCGAUUCCACUCAGUGACUCCAUGUUGACACAAAGAAUGUUGGUGGCGUAUUUGUAAGUGUUUUCAUAUGUUACCUAUCUCCUUAUUCAGUUUGCCAAACAAGCUAACCAGACACAAUUCUUAUUCAAGUUUGAUCCAAAUUUCUC
Molecule: long non-coding RNA, 527 nt
Filed under: Hordeum vulgare
Lineage: Eukaryota; Viridiplantae; Streptophyta; Magnoliopsida; Poales; Poaceae
Description: long non-coding RNA (HVUL_LNC020893)
Source: RNAcentral